RNAcentral lists this non-coding RNA (45 nucleotides) under Schistosoma mansoni. The record is from RNAcentral. Lineage: Eukaryota; Metazoa; Platyhelminthes; Trematoda; Strigeidida; Schistosomatidae.
GUCCAGCUGAAGAAUCUCAAACAGGACGAAACACGUGUCCUGGAC